RNAcentral lists this unclassified non-coding RNA (347 nucleotides) under soil metagenome. Its description in RNAcentral is "partial contains 5.8S ribosomal RNA, internal transcribed spacer 2, and large subunit ribosomal RNA". The stretch from base 1 to 120 matches the Rfam family "5.8S ribosomal RNA", at positions 35 to 154 of the family's 154-position model. The record is from RNAcentral.
GAUGAAGAACGCAGCGAAAUGCGAUACGUAAUGUGAAUUGCAGAAUUCCGUGAAUCAUCGAAUUUUUGAACGCACAUUGCGCCCCCUGGUAUUCCGGGGGGCAUGCCUGUCCGAGCGUCAUUGCUGCCCUCAAGCACGGCUUGUGUGUUGGGCCCCGUCCUCCGAUCCCGGGGGACGGGCCCGAAAGGCAGCGGCGGCACCGCGUCCGGUCCUCGAGCGUAUGGGGCUUUGUCACCCGCUCUGUAGGCCCGGCCGGCGCUUGCCGAUCAACCCAAAUUUUUUAUCCAGGUUGACCUCGGAUCAGGUAGGGAUACCCGCUGAACUUAAGCAUAUCAAUAAGCGGAGGA